UCUUGAGUGGAUCCUGAGUACGACGGAGCACGUGAAAUUCCGUCGGAAUCUGGGAGGACCAUCUCCUAAGGCUAAAUACUCUCUAGUGACCGAUAGUGAACCAGUACCGUGAGGGAAAGGUGAAAAGUACCCCGGAAGGGGAGUGAAAGAGAACUUGAAACCGUGUGCUUACAAGUAGUCAGAGCCCGUUAAUGGGUGAUGGCGUGCCUUUUGUAGAAUGAACCGGCGAGUUACGAUCUGAUGCAAGGUUAAGCAGAAAAUGUGGAGCCGUAGCGAAAGCGAGUCUGAAUAGGGCGUAUAGUAUUUGGUCGUAGACCCGAAACCAGGUGAUCUACCCAUGGUCAGGUUGAAGUUCAGGUAACACUGAAUGGAGGACCGAACCGACUUACGUUGAAAAGUGAGCGGAUGAACUGUGGGUAGCGGAGAAAUUCCAAUCGAACUUGGAGAUAGCUGGUUCUCUCCGAAAUAGCUUUAGGGCUAGCCUCAAGUGAUGAUUAUUGGAGGUAGAGCACUGUUUGGACGAGGGGCCCCUCUCGGGUUACCGAAUUCAGACAAACUCCGAAUGCCAAUUAAUUUAACUUGGGAGUCAGAACAUGGGUGAUAAGGUCCGUGUUCGAAAGGGAAACAGCCCAGACCACCAGCUAAGGUCCCAAAAUAUAUGUUAAGUGGAAAAGGAUGUGGCGUUGCCCAGACAACUAGGAUGUUGGCUUAGAAGCAGCCAUCAUUUAAAGAGUGCGUAAUAGCUCACUAGUCGAGUGACACUGCGCCGAAAAUGUACCGGGGCUAAACAUAUUACCGAAGCUGUGGAUUGUCCUUUGGACAAUGGUAGGAGAGCGUUCUAAGGGCGUUGAAGCAUGAUCGCAAGGACAUGUGGAGCGCUUAGAAGUGAGAAUGCCGGUGUGAGUAGCGAAAGACGGGUGAGAAUCCCGUCCACCGAUUGACUAAGGUUUCCAGAGGAAGGCUCGUCCGCUCUGGGUUAGUCGGGUCCUAAGCUGAGGCCGACAGGCGUAGGCGAUGGAUAACAGGUUGAUAUUCCUGUACCACCUAUAAUCGUUUUAAUCGAUGGGGGGACGCAGUAGGAUAGGCGAAGCGUACGAUUGGAUUGUACGUCUAAGCAGUGAGAUUGAGUGUUAGGCAAAUCCGGCACUCUUAAGAUUGAGCUGUGAUGGGGAGAGGAAAUUGUUUCCUCGAGUCGUUGAUUUCACACUGCCGAGAAAAGCCUCUAGAUAGAGAUUAGGUGCCCGUACCGCAAACCGACACAGGUAGUCAAGAUGAGAAUUCUAAGGUGAGCGAGCGAACUCUCGUUAAGGAACUCGGCAAAAUGACCCCGUAACUUCGGGAGAAGGGGUGCUCUUUAGGGUGCAAGCCCAGAAGAGCCGCAGUGAAUAGGCCCAAGCGACUGUUUAUCAAAAACACAGGUCUCUGCUAAACCGUAAGGUGAUGUAUAGGGGCUGACGCCUGCCCGGUGCUGGAAGGUUAAGAGGAGUGGUUAGCUUC
This 1497-nucleotide ribosomal RNA is filed under the name Staphylococcus hominis. RNAcentral describes it as "partial 23S ribosomal RNA". It matches the Rfam family "Bacterial large subunit ribosomal RNA", at positions 395 to 1897 of the family's 2925-position model. The record is from RNAcentral. Lineage: Bacteria; Bacillati; Bacillota; Bacilli; Caryophanales; Staphylococcaceae.